GAUCCUGGCUCAGAUUGAACGCUGGCGGCAUGCUUUACACAUGCAAGUCGAACGGCAGCGGGGGCUUCGGCCUGCCGGCGAGUGGCGAACGGGUGAGUAAUGCAUCGGAACGUGCCCAUGUCGUGGGGGACAACGUAGCGAAAGCUACGCUAAUACCGCAUACGCCCUGAGGGGGAAAGCGGGGGAUUCUUCGGAACCUCGCGCGAUUGGAGCGGCCGAUGUCGGAUUAGCUAGUAGGUGAGGUAAAGGCUCACCUAGGCGACGAUCCGUAGCGGGUCUGAGAGGAUGAUCCGCCACACUGGGACUGAGACACGGCCCAGACUCCUACGGGAGGCAGCAGUGGGGAAUUUUGGACAAUGGGCGCAAGCCUGAUCCAGCCAUGCCGCGUGAGUGAAGAAGGCCUUCGGGUUGUAAAGCUCUUUCGGCCGGGAAGAAAUCGUGGUCUCUAACAUAGGCCAUGGAUGACGGUACCGGACUAAGAAGCACCGGCUAACUACGUG
RNAcentral lists this ribosomal RNA (500 nucleotides) under uncultured bacterium. RNAcentral's name for it is "bacterial SSU rRNA". It matches the Rfam family "Bacterial small subunit ribosomal RNA", at positions 15 to 507 of the family's 1533-position model. The record is from RNAcentral.